AAGAAGAAGAAACAAAAA
RNAcentral lists this small RNA (18 nucleotides) under Arabidopsis thaliana (thale cress). Its description in RNAcentral is "ATSL019240". The record is from RNAcentral. Lineage: Eukaryota; Viridiplantae; Streptophyta; Magnoliopsida; Brassicales; Brassicaceae.